Clonorchis sinensis is the source of this 43-nucleotide non-coding RNA. NCBI's taxonomy places the organism in Eukaryota, Metazoa, Platyhelminthes, Trematoda, Opisthorchiida, Opisthorchiidae. The record is from Rfam.
GCCUACCUGAUGAGUUCCAAAAAGGACGAAACCGGUCGUGGGC